RNAcentral lists this ribosomal RNA (1233 nucleotides) under Litargus sp. NLG-2012. Its description in RNAcentral is "partial 16S ribosomal RNA". Lineage: Eukaryota; Metazoa; Arthropoda; Insecta; Coleoptera; Mycetophagidae. The record is from RNAcentral.
GUCUUUAAAAUUAAAAAUUUUGGCGGUAUUUUAGUCUUUUCAGAGGAACCUGUUUUUUAAUUGAUAAUCCACGAUAAAAAUUACUUUAUUUAAGAAUUUACAUAUCAUUGUAGUUUGAAAAUUUUAUAAUAAAAUUUUUUCAAAUCAAGGUGUAGUUUAUAAUAAAGAUAAAAUGGGUUACAAUAAAAAUUUUAUAUAAAUUGGAUUUGAAAGUAAGCUCUAAAAUAUGUACAUAUUGCCCGUCGCUUUCAUUUUAAGAUGAAAUAAGUCGUAACAAAGUAGAUUUAUUGGAAAAUGAAUCUAGAAUUCAAAUUAGAGCUUUAAAAGUUUUUUAGUUACAUUAAAAAGUUAAUUGUGAAAUUCAAUUUAAUUUGAAUUAAAAUUUUUAUUAAUUUUAUAUUUUUUUAUUUUUUAAAAAAAGAAAUUAUUUUUUUAUUUUUGGUAAGAAAAAAUUUUAUUAUAGUUAAUUGUAUUGUGAAAGAUUAUAAAAAAAUUUUUAAAAGAAAUUUUAAUUUAAUGUACCUUGUGUAUCAGGGUUUAUAAAUUUAUAAAUCUCGAAUUUAAAAGAGCUAAUUUUAUUGUAGAAUAAAUAUUUAAAAUUUAAAAUUUGUAAUGAAAUGUUAUUCGUUUUUAAAUAUAUCUAGUUUUUUAAGAAAAAAAUUUAAUUUUUUAUAUUUAAAUAAUAUUAAUAAGGGAUAAGCUUUAAAUUAGAUUAUUAAAAAUUUUGUAUAAAUUAAAAUUUAUAGGAUUAGAAUUUUCCAAUUUUAAAAUUAUGUUAUAUUAAAUAUUUUUAAUUUUUUUAUUAAAAUUUUUGAUAAAAUUUUUAUGUUAAAGUAAUAAUGAUAAAAUUAGUAAUAUAAAAUUAAGGAAUUCGGCAAUAAUUUUUUUUACCUGUUUAUUAAAAACAUGUCUUUUUGAUUUUAAUUUAAAGUCUGACCUGCCCAAUGAUUAAAUGGCCGCAGUAUCUUGACUGUGCAAAGGUAGCAUAAUCAUUAGUUUUUUAAAUGGAAGCUGGAAUGAAAGGUUUGAUAAAAAAAAAUCUGUCUCUAAAAUUUUAUUUUUAAGUUAAAAAGCUUAAAUUUUUUAAUAAGACGAGAAGACCCUAUAGAGUUUUUUUAUUGGGGUGAUAAAAAAAUUUAAAUAACUUUUUUAUUUUAUGAAUAAUUGAUCCUAGAUUAAAAGAAAAAAUUACCUUAGGGAUAACAGCGUAAUUUUUUUUGAGAGUUCUUAUCG